This 465-nucleotide ribosomal RNA is filed under the name Vreelandella stevensii. Its description in RNAcentral is "partial 16S ribosomal RNA". It matches the Rfam family "Bacterial small subunit ribosomal RNA", at positions 338 to 795 of the family's 1533-position model. The record is from RNAcentral. Lineage: Bacteria; Pseudomonadati; Pseudomonadota; Gammaproteobacteria; Oceanospirillales; Halomonadaceae.
CCUACGGGUGGCUGCAGUGGGGAAUAUUGGACAAUGGGGGCAACCCUGAUCCAGCCAUGCCGCGUGUGUGAAGAAGGCCCUCGGGUUGUAAAGCACUUUCAGUGAGGAAGAACGCCUGGUGGUUAAUACCCAUCAGGAAAGACAUCACUCACAGAAGAAGCACCGGCUAACUCCGUGCCAGCAGCCGCGGUAAUACGGAGGGUGCGAGCGUUAAUCGGAAUUACUGGGCGUAAAGCGCGCGUAGGUGGCUUGAUAAGCCGGUUGUGAAAGCCCCGGGCUCAACCUGGGAACGGCAUCCGGAACUGUCAAGCUAGAGUGCAGGAGAGGAAGGUAGAAUUCCCGGUGUUGCGGUGAAAUGCGUAGAGAUCGGGAGGAAUACCAGUGGCGAAGGCGGCCUUCUGGACUGACACUGACACUGAGGUGCGAAAGCGUGGGUAGCAAACAGGAUUAGAUACCCUUGUAGUC